Molecule: non-coding RNA, 1538 nt
Organism: Microcebus murinus (gray mouse lemur)
Lineage: Eukaryota; Metazoa; Chordata; Mammalia; Primates; Cheirogaleidae
Source: RefSeq, a predicted model, not a curated record
GGGCACACGGGGAGGACGGGAAUGAGGUCCAGCUGGUGCGGCGUGACGGUUAACUUCUUGCUCUACUACCUGGGGGAUAUCUGUCUCCCUAAAUGCCACAGAUCCUGGUCCCUCAGGAAUAACAGAUGUUACUGCUGGAAGCCAUCCCUGAGUCAGUCUACCAUCUCCAGAAACCGACUUGCUGAAGCUGUGAACGGCAGUCCCAGAGCGCUGUCCUCCCAUUGCUGGCCGCAAAGGCCAUUUCUCCUCUCAGAGUGGCCGGGCGGUCAGGGGAGCUCCGCUUGAUGGCGGGCGGUGUUGACUGGCACUUGGCGGGCGAGUGACCACUGCCGUGUAAAUAAUAGCAAGGACUCUUGGCUCAAGUUGGUUAUGAAAUCUGGAAAGGUCCUGCCCUGCUCAGCUAUCAGCUAUAUAAAAUCUGCUGGGUCAAUUUGGAAAAGGCAUUUGCCCCUGCUCCAAGCUGGCUUUAUCAUGAGAAAUAGUCUCUGACUUUGAAGCAGGUCAUGGACGGCCCACUUUUGGGGAGAGGAACUGGCCGAUGGAAAUAUCAGUGGGUGAGGACUGUUUUGCAGUGAGUCAUUUCAGCCACAGUGUAAUGUCAGAUUUUAAACCGUUUGGGUGCCAAGGGGGCAGAUCUCCUCUGGCAUGAGAUGACAAGCAGUAAUUUUGUGAGGAUGACAAGAUAACUGAAACCAAAGCUGAGAUAAGUAUGAGCUAACUUAAAAGAUAUGUUGAGUGCUAAAUGCUUAAAACUUGCUGUGGGACAUUUUGAAUCUAUUGAAUGAAAUAAUUAUUCCCUUCAGACUUGUUGGAGGAAGGUUGCAGGAAUGUCAGUUCCCCUCUACAGCUGCAGAUUGCUGAGGCGGGUUACAUUGAAUGAGAGUUGCAGAAUGCACUUCUCUGUAAUGAUGCUGUGGAGGGUGAUGCUUGGUACUCACAUCAAUCUGAUUUGCAUACCCCCUCAACUUUGAGAACAUGAAGUGAAUCCUCUGAAAGCAAAGCAGAAAGAGAAGGGUAAUUAGGAAUGAGAUGUAGAAUCUGAAACAAAAUUCUGCAGAAAUAGAAAAAAAAUAGCAUUGAAGUGAAAAAUCAAUCAUUUACCAUCUUUUCAAUGCUCUUCUGUGAUACACACCUCCAUAUUUCCCUGGUGAAUCAUUUUCUCAUAUUUCCCUGGUGAAUCACUUUCUCCCUUAGGCUCAGCUCAAUGUUUUGGACAUGGCUGACUUGUUCUCUGACCAGAGGUGCACAGCCCUGAACCUGGGAUUAUGUAGCUCUGACAUUCAACCGGAAUGAGAGUAAAGCAAAGACUGGGAGAAGGACCAGGUCCUGCGGCAUUGUUUGAGACUCCGAAUCAAGCCACAGCUGAAAGUAGAUCUACCCAGGACUUCUUAACCACUUCGGUAUGAGAGUCGACUGUAGUCGACAGCCACAGAGAACCCGCACAGCCUGGCGUCCACUGUGGUCAACAGCCACAGAGAACGCGCACAGCCCAGCGGCGACCGUAGCCCACGGCCACAGAUGAACGCGCACAGACUGUA